Molecule: ribosomal RNA, 326 nt
Filed under: uncultured archaeon
Lineage: Archaea
Description: bacterial SSU rRNA
Rfam family: Archaeal small subunit ribosomal RNA
Source: RNAcentral
CCCUACGGGGCGCAGCAGGCGCGAAAACCUCGCACUGUGCGAAAGCACGACGAGGGAAUCCCAAGUGCUGGCUCGUUAGAGUCAGCUGUUUCUCUGUCUAAAAAACAGAGAGAGUAAGGGCUGGGUAAGACGGGUGCCAGCCGCCGCGGUAAUACCUGCAGCCCAAGUGGUGACUGUUAUUAUUGGGCCUAAAACGUCCGUAGCCGGUUUAGUAAAUGCCUGGGUAAAUCGUACGGCUUAACCGUACGAAGUCCGGGUAGACUGCUGAACUUGAGAUCGGGAGAGGCUAGAGGUACUCCUGGGGUAGAGGUGAAAUCCUGUAAUCC